This 1497-nucleotide ribosomal RNA is filed under the name Triticum aestivum (bread wheat). Its description in RNAcentral is "partial small subunit ribosomal RNA". Lineage: Eukaryota; Viridiplantae; Streptophyta; Magnoliopsida; Poales; Poaceae. The record is from RNAcentral.
AUGCAAGACCUACUCAUUCUCAUCUUGAGCUUGAUGCUCCUCCUCGUCGCCAUGGCCGUCCGGCGGCAUGGGCAUGCAUCGAGCAAGGCGGUCUACACGCGCCUCGCCACCAGCGUCAAGUCGACUUUCGCGGGCUGGCUCCGGCAGCCAGCCAUCGUCAUCAGGGACCGCGCGACAGCGCACCGCCUUCUCGUCCGUGGCUGCGUCGGCGGCUCCUUCUCCAACCGCCCGCCAUCCAUGGCGCCAAGCGCCGUCCUCUCGCACCGCCGCUACCACAACCUAACAUCGGCUCCAUACGGCCCGUUCUGGCGCGUCACGCGCCGCAACCUCACCUCGGAGGUUCUCCACCCACUGCGCCUCCACCGCUACGCCGCCGCCCGCCGCGACGCGCUCUGCGAUCUCGUCGCGGACCUCAAAAAUCAGUGCACGUCCAGCCCCGACGGCCUAGUCCUCGCGGCGGAGAGCAUCCGCACCGCCAUGUUCGGCCUGCUCACGACCAUGUGCUUCGGCGACGGCGUCGACGCGGGCCUCAUCCGCGCGAUGGCCGACGCCCAGCACGACCUCGUCCAGUUCUUCCCUGAGCUGCGCGUCUUCGCGAAGUUGCCGGUGGCGGCUAGGUUGAUCCACCGCCAACGGUGGAGCAAGCUAGUGGCGCUGCGGCGGAAGCAGGAGGAGAUGUACCUCCCGCUCAUCCACGCCCGCCGCAGCCGGCAACGCAAAUCUGGCGAAACGCCGGCGUAUGUGGACACGCUCAUUGACCUCCGGGUCCCGGACGACCACAACAAACGCAGGAGGCCGCGUAGGCUCACCGACGGCGAGCUCGUGGGCAUGUGCUCCGAGUUCCUUGGUGCAGGAACUGAAACUGUGGCCGCGGCGCUGCAGUGGAUCAUGGCGAACCUGGUGAAGCGCCCACACAUGCAAGAGGCUGUCCGUAGGGAGAUCAACGCUGCUGUUGACGCGGACGCCGAGGAGGUGGGCGAGGAGGUUCUUGGACUAGAGUACCUCAACGCCGUCGUCAUGGAGGUGCUCCGGCUGUACCCCACCGCGACCUUGGUGUUUAGGCAGGUGUCGGAACAAGACGACAUCAUUCAUGAUGGCCAGCGUAUUCCGACGGGCACCAAUGUGCUCUUCCCGCUGAAAUCUCUGGCGCAAGACAAGGCGACGUGGGUCAACCCAGAUGAGUUCAAGCCAGAACGGUUCCUAGCCGACAAAGGUGGGGAAAGCAUCAGCCUUGUUGCAGCCGCUGGAAGCGGUGGGGAGAUCAGGAUGAUACCGUUCGGUGCCGGCCGAAGGGUGUGCCCCGGCAUGGCCGUCGCCAUGCUCCACAUGGGAUACUUCACGGCCAACCUCGUGAGGGAGUUUGAAUGGAGGGAGGCGAAGGGGGAGCUAGCUGUCUAUCUCCGCCCGCAUUUCGGGUUCUUCACUGUCAUGAAGCACCCGUUGCGUGCUCACCUCGCUGUGCUUACGCGACGGGAGGGGGCUCGAAAGGAGGAGUAA